Molecule: ribosomal RNA, 369 nt
Filed under: uncultured bacterium
Lineage: Bacteria
Description: bacterial SSU rRNA
Rfam family: Bacterial small subunit ribosomal RNA
Source: RNAcentral
GUAGGUGGCGAGCGUUGUCCGGAAUUACUGGGUGUAAAGGGUGCGUAGGCGGGACGGUAAGUCAGCUGUGAAAGGUACAGGCUCAACCUGUGCACUGCAGUUGAAACUGCUGUUCUUGAGUAGAGGAGAGGUAAACGGAAUUCCCAGUGUAGCGGUGGAAUGCGUAGAUAUUGGGAGGAACACCAGUGGCGAAGGCGGUUUACUGGACUCUAACUGACGCUGAAGCACGAAAGCGUGGGGAGCAAACAGGAUUAGAUACCCUGGUAGUCCACGCCGUAAACGAUGGAUACUAGGUGUGGGGGGACUGACCCCUUCCGUGCCGGAGUUAACGCAAUAAGUAUCCCACCUGGGGAGUACGACCGCAAGGUG